CAAAGUGAUGAUGAUGAGAGGCCAACAAGAUACUUUGUGAUUUCAAUGUAACUAUGGAAUAAUGAUCCAUACAAUUGAAGUUUUAAUUAAGUUCGUGUCAGACGAAAAAAAAUGUAAUGAAUUGGAAAA
Hippocampus comes (tiger tail seahorse) is the source of this 129-nucleotide long non-coding RNA. RefSeq lists it as uncharacterized. Lineage: Eukaryota; Metazoa; Chordata; Actinopteri; Syngnathiformes; Syngnathidae. The transcript has 2 exons. The record is from RefSeq and is a predicted model, not a curated record.